RNAcentral lists this unclassified non-coding RNA (258 nucleotides) under Hevea brasiliensis (rubber tree). The record is from RNAcentral. Lineage: Eukaryota; Viridiplantae; Streptophyta; Magnoliopsida; Malpighiales; Euphorbiaceae.
AAAAGUGGAGGGGGAAAGAGAGAGAAAAGAGACAGAACCCUGGGCUGGGAGAGAGAUGGAGAGAGAGGAGAAAAGGAAGGAAAAGAAAAUGAAGGAUAAAGGGAAGAGAUCGGUGGACGAGAGGUAUGCACAAUGGAAGACACUGGUUCCUGUCCUCUACGAUUGGCUCGCUAAUCACAACCUCGUUUGGCCUUCUCUUUCUUGCCGAUGGGGUCCGCAGCUGGAGCAGGCAACAUACAAGAAUCGUCAGCGUUUAUA